This 450-nucleotide ribosomal RNA is filed under the name uncultured Enterococcaceae bacterium. RNAcentral's name for it is "bacterial SSU rRNA". It matches the Rfam family "Bacterial small subunit ribosomal RNA", at positions 354 to 796 of the family's 1533-position model. The record is from RNAcentral. Lineage: Bacteria; Bacillati; Bacillota; Bacilli; Lactobacillales; Enterococcaceae.
GUAGGGAAUCUUCGGCAAUGGACGAAAGUCUGACCGAGCAACGCCGCGUGAGUGAAGAAGGUUUUCGGAUCGUAAAACUCUGUUGUUAGAGAAGAACAAGGAUGAGAGUAACUGUUCAUCCCUUGACGGUAUCUAACCAGAAAGCCACGGCUAACUACGUGCCAGCAGCCGCGGUAAUACGUAGGUGGCAAGCGUUGUCCGGAUUUAUUGGGCGUAAAGCGAGCGCAGGCGGUUUCUUAAGUCUGAUGUGAAAGCCCCCGGCUCAACCGGGGAGGGUCAUUGGAAACUGGGAGACUUGAGUGCAGAAGAGGAGAGUGGAAUUCCAUGUGUAGCGGUGAAAUGCGUAGAUAUAUGGAGGAACACCAGUGGCGAAGGCGGCUCUCUGGUCUGUAACUGACGCUGAGGCUCGAAAGCGUGGGGAGCAAACAGGAUUAGAAACCCCAGUAGUCC